UACAGAGGUCCCAAGCGUUGUUCGGAUUCACUGGGCGUAAAGGGUGCGUAGGUGGUGAGGUAAGUCUAAUGUGAAAUCCCGGAGCUCAACUCCGGAACUGCAUCGGAAACUAUCUCGCUAGAGGGUUGUAGGGGGGACUGGAAUUCUCGGUGUAGCAGUGAAAUGCGUAGAUAUCGAGAGGAACACCAGUGGCGAAGGCGAGUCCCUGGACAACACCUGACACUGAGGCACGAAAGCUAGGGGAGCAAACAGG
Molecule: ribosomal RNA, 253 nt
Filed under: uncultured bacterium
Lineage: Bacteria
Description: partial 16S ribosomal RNA
Rfam family: Bacterial small subunit ribosomal RNA
Source: RNAcentral